GGGGCGGUAGCUCAGUCGGUCAGAGCAGCGGACUCAUAAUCCGUCGGUCGUGGGUUCGAGCCCCACCCGCCCCACCA
This 77-nucleotide transfer RNA is filed under the name Actinomycetes bacterium. RNAcentral describes it as "tRNA-Ile". It matches the Rfam family "tRNA". From Rfam's summary of the family: Transfer RNA (tRNA) molecules are approximately 80 nucleotides in length. Lineage: Bacteria; Bacillati; Actinomycetota; Actinomycetes. The record is from RNAcentral.